AGUCAUAUGCAACAGUGAUAACUUUGACUGCUUUUUAUCGAUCCAGAUAGAAUUCAACCAAACUGCCCAGUAGCGGCAACAACGACUACUUUAUAAGCGUGAUCUACAAAUAUUCACUUAGUUUUUUAUUUUUUUGUAUCAACACUUCACCAAACUCCUCUCUGUCUCCAAUGUCAUUCGAUCGAUCUUCAUGGGUAGCCUUUUGGCGAUCAACCGAUCGUUUCUCUCUGGAACACUUCAAGUACAUAAUUGGUGAACUGCAAGAGAUCAAAGUUGUGAACAAGCUCAAUAAGGACUCUGUCAUGGAUAUGUUGGGGGCAAUUGUAGAAAUAGUUACUUAUGGAGACCAAAACGACGCAUCAAUUUUCGAAUGUUUCAUGGAAUAUCAAAUUUUAGCAGAGUUUCUUCGUUUAAUAAAGAUCAGUAGAAAUUCCAGCAUUGAGGUGCAAUUGCUUCACUAUUUAAGCAUAUUGAUCCAAAAUUUGGAGAGUGAGAAUUCAAUUUACUAUUGUUUUAGCAACGGAUAUAUCAACAACAUCAUUCUCUACCCGUUUAAGUUUGACACUGGGGAUUUGGCUUCCUAUUUUGCAUCAUUUUUAAGAACAGUUAGCGGAAAACUAAAUAGAGAGACUAUAUAUCUUCUCGUGAACGUCGAAGAGGAUAUGGUAGUCUCAUUCCCAUUGUACAGUGAGGCACUUAAAUUCGCACGCAAUGAAGAAAAGAUGAUUCAGAUAGCAAUACGUGCAGUAACCCUCAAUGUUUACAAUGCCUGCGAUGAUAUGGUAUUAGCAUUUUUAACGACUCCUCCAGCCUCAGAAUAUUUCUCAGAUUUGGUGCUACACUUAAGGGACCAAUGCCUCCAUUUCGAUUCCCUUGUAAGAACUACAAUGGAUUCUUGCACGCGUGAGAUACGGAAUCAGCUGCAGAUGGGAACUGAUUUAGUUGUAAAUGAUCUUUAUUACUUUAACGAUAUACUCAAAAUUGGUCAGCCCGGUUUAAGUAGAUUGAUGAUUGAAAACAUUUUCAGAUCAUUAGUUUUACCAGCUUUGCUACCGCUGCAAUCGAGUGAGAACUUCGGCUCACAAUCUUCGAUCACAUCUCUGUGCGUAAUUUGUCGUCUUCUUCAAGUUGUUGAUGGAAGAGAGCUGGUUAAUUCUGUUGCAAUUGCUCUCUUAUGUUCUUAUAUGUUCUCAUUUGCGAGAAGUACUAUUGAGAAGGGUGACAGUGAUGAGGGCGCAAUGAUUAAUGUAGACACUGUUAAUCACUUCGCUGAGUAUUUAAUCGACAUUAAAGAAGUCGUAGUUCCUUUUCUUGAGGCUGAAGGAGCAGAAAACAUAAGCAAGACCAAUCUAUUUGGGAUACUAUCAGAGUACAUAUCCUGUCGCACUGGUUCCUCCAGCUGUCUGCUGGAUAAAUUUUCAGUUGAGAGGAACGGAAUACUUUCGUUAAUUCUAUCUGAAAAUAUCAGUAUAUUGCUUGCAUUCCUAAUGUUUUUGAUUAUUUUAUCCGAACACAAAGAUCUUGAUAGUUCACUAUCAUCUAUUUUGGGAUUUGCUGAUAAGAAUACGGGGCAAGAGAUGUCUUCUAACAAUUUGCUUCAACGUGCGAUGGAUGGUAAUAUCUUUGCCACACACAUGCCUAAGAUUUUGACUGCACUGUUGAGGGUUUUGGUGAGCCAGCCACCAUUCUCGAUAUCAACACGGUGGCACAUAGGGUGGGUUCUCGGGAAGCUACUAAGAUACCACGAUACAAAGUUCACAGAGCAUGAUAUCGAUCUUUUUAAUGUUUCAUAUGAACAGUCCAGGGAAGGACUUGCGCAAGAGCUCAAUGGGUGCUGGUCUGAUUAUAUCCCAACCACUGUAGAAAUCGAAUGGCUAAAGUGUACGAGAGCUUUGGCGGAGUCAUCAGGGUUGAAAGAUCCUUUUCUCACCCUUGAGGUUUCCACACAUGACCAUUUACCUGAAGGUAGUACGUCUUCCUCUCAUGCUUGGCAAAGGAUGGUUGAUGCAGUCAAGGAUCGAGUUUCAGGUUUUUGUACUUUGGCAUCACUUCGAGGCCAUCAUUUUUAAAAGAGAUACUCAAGAAGAACACAUGAAUCAACUAAGAAGUGCUUUGAAGGGUACUCUAGAUAAGGAAGAUGGUAUAGAUAUUCAUUCUGCAACUUAUGGAACUCGGACUGGAUUAGGUCCAGGUAUUCCUUGCAAAAUUGCCUUUUCGAAAAGGGAAGUGAAGGAUGUUUACUUGAUACCUGUGGCAAAAGGAAUAUUUGGAAAGUUACUUCUCGCGGAGAAACUUUCCUUAGAUAGUGAUGAGGGCGUUGUAAUUGCUGUUGCUCCGCUGGCUGGGUUGAGUCCAAGGAUAGAUGAUGAGCACUCAACAUGGUUGCAUCUACGGAUAAGAGAGUUUGAUCCAAGAGUCCAUGCAAAAAAAAGCUGGAGCAAAUGAUUUUACUGGCGCCAAUAAUGUGGUGGAUGGAAGAUGGACCCUUGCAUUUCAAACCACUGAGAUUUGUGAUUCUGCUUUGUUGUUGACCCAAAGGGAGCUCGACAAACAACGGUCCUCAGUCGAGCGAUUGCUUGCUCCAUUUCUCCAGAACUAUUCUCCCAAGAACUCGUCAGAUUAAUAAGGUGCGUAAACCUGCACGCAAAAUUUUGUUUCAUGUUUUCAGUAUGGAUCAUUGUUUAGCAAGUUGUAGCUGUAUUUACCUUUGAGAUGUAUCAUAACUUUUAUUCUGUUAUUCAUUUGUGAUACAUUCAACUAUGUAAUUAAACAAACAUGUCUUGUCCAAGUAUUCUUUGUCAAAAUAAAACUUAGGGUUUAAGGUCCCAGUUGAAAUUAAA
Molecule: RNA transcript, 2840 nt
Organism: Papaver somniferum (opium poppy)
Lineage: Eukaryota; Viridiplantae; Streptophyta; Magnoliopsida; Ranunculales; Papaveraceae
Gene name: protein TRANSPARENT TESTA 9-like
Exons: 20
Source: RefSeq, a predicted model, not a curated record